GAUGAACGCUGGCGGCGUGCCUAAUACAUGCAAGUCGAGCGAACGGACGAGAAACUUGCUUUUCUGAUGUUAGCGGCGGACGGGUGAGUAACACGUGGAUAACCUAGCUAUAAGACUGGGAUAACUUCGGGAAACCGGGGCUAAUACCGGGUAAUAUUUUGAACCGCAUGGUUCAAAAGUGAGAGACGGUCUUGCUGUCACUUAUAGAUGGAUCUGCGCUGCAUUAGCUAGUUGGUAAGGUAACGGCUUACCAAGGCAACGUUGCAUAGCCGACCUGAGAGGGUGAUCGCCCACGCUGGAACUGAGACACGGUCCAGACUCCUGCGGGAGGCAGCCGUCGGGAAUCUUCCGCAAUGGGCGCAAGCCUGACGGAGCAACGCCGCGUGAGUGAUGAAGGUCUUCGGAUCGUAAAACUCUGUUAUUAGGGAAGAACAUAUGUGUAAGUAACUGUGCACAUCUUGACGGUACCUAAUCAGAAAGCCACGGCUAACUACGUG
Molecule: ribosomal RNA, 497 nt
Filed under: uncultured bacterium
Lineage: Bacteria
Description: partial 16S ribosomal RNA
Rfam family: Bacterial small subunit ribosomal RNA
Source: RNAcentral